This is a long non-coding RNA of Pelobates fuscus (common spadefoot toad), 854 nucleotides long. RefSeq lists it as uncharacterized. NCBI's taxonomy places the organism in Eukaryota, Metazoa, Chordata, Amphibia, Anura, Pelobatidae. The record is from RefSeq and is a predicted model, not a curated record. The transcript has 3 exons.
CAGCUGAGUGACACAAUGUGACAGAAGCUGGCUGCUGCCAAACACAUCGUGUCUAUUCAGCAUCCUCUGCCAGGACUUCAGCCCACCUGCCAGACACGUAACCAGGUGGGGAGGGGCCUUGGUGACUGCAGCCUCCCCUGACACUUCAUCAUCGAUUUUCCACAGCGAGAGAGAGAGAGAGAGAGAGAGAGAGAGAGAGAGAGAGAGAGAGAGAGAGAGAGAGGGGAAGUGAAAUGUGAUGCAGCAGAAACUACAACAAAUGGAAAAUACAACAAAUAAAGCGGAAACAAAUGGAUGAGUAAAGAUGAAACCCUUAUUGGACUUUUUUUAUGAUAUAGUUUUGAGUUCUUAUUAUUAUUAUUUUUAGUAACCUCCUUGUCCAACCUUCUCUAAUUAGAAUGUUCUGUUUUUUUGUUUUACAGGCGUUGUCAAGGCCCUGAUCUACAAACAAUACGUUUUUAAGAAUUGCACAAGUACCAUCAAAGAGAUUAUGAAGACUUUAGAGUCAGUUAGCCCAUCUUAUUUCUCUGGGAUCCACAUUAUGUGAAUCGUAAAAGCAUGGCCAACAAUUCUUCACUCAGUGACCCAUUCUUAGAUUACAAUAAUAAAAAAAAAAAAACGUCUUGAAAUAUUUGGACAUUGACACAAUUUUUAAAAUUCUGGAUCGGUACGCCACCACAAUGGAUUUAACAUUAAAAAAACAAAGAUGCAAUUGGAGUGCAUACUUUCAACUUUAAUUCAAGGGGUUGAAUAAAAAUAUUGUAUGAAACAUUUAGUAAUUGCAACCAUUUUCAUACACAGUCCCCUUAUUUCAGGGGCUCAAAUGUAAUUGGACAAAUUAACACAAUCAUAAA